This 500-nucleotide ribosomal RNA is filed under the name uncultured bacterium. RNAcentral describes it as "partial 16S ribosomal RNA". It matches the Rfam family "Bacterial small subunit ribosomal RNA", at positions 30 to 523 of the family's 1533-position model. The record is from RNAcentral.
AUUGAACGCUGGCGGAAUGCUUUACACAUGCAAGUCGAACGGCAGCACGGACUUCGGUCUGGUGGCGAGUGGCGAACGGGUGAGUAAUACAUCGGAACGUGCCCAGUCGUGGGGGAUAACGUAGCGAAAGCUACGCUAAUACCGCAUACGAUCUAAGGAUGAGAGCGGGGGAUCGCAAGACCUCGCGCGAUUGGAGCGGCCGAUGGCAGAUUAGGUAGUUGGUAGGGUAAAGGCCUACCAAGCCGACGAUCUGUAGCUGGUCUGAGAGGAUGAUCAGCCUCACUGGGACUGAGACACGGCCCAGACUCCUACGGGAGGCAGCAGUGGGGAAUUUUGGACAAUGGGCGCAAGCCUGAUCCAGCCAUUCCGCGUGCAGGAUGAAGGCCUUCGGGUUGUAAACUGCUUUUGUACAGAACGAAAAGGCUCUGGUUAAUACCCGGGGCUCAUGACGGUACUGUAAGAAUAAGCACCGGCUAACUACGUGCCAGCCGCCGCAGUAA